RNAcentral lists this ribosomal RNA (404 nucleotides) under uncultured bacterium. Its description in RNAcentral is "bacterial SSU rRNA". It matches the Rfam family "Bacterial small subunit ribosomal RNA", at positions 355 to 776 of the family's 1533-position model. The record is from RNAcentral.
UAGGGAAUCUUGCGCAAUGGGCGAAAGCCUGACGCAGCCAUGCCGCGUGAAUGAUGAAGGUCUUAGGAUUGUAAAAUUCUUUCACCGGGGAAGAUAAUGACGGUACCCGUAGAAGAAGCCCCGGCUAACUUCGUGCCAGCAGCCGCGGUAAUACGAAGGGGGCUAGCGUUGCUCGGAAUUACUGGGCGUAAAGGGCGCGUAGGCGGAUAUCUAAGUUGGGGGUGAAAUCCCGGGGCUCAACCUCGGAAUUACCUUCAAAACUGGGUAUCUUGAGUUCGGGAGAGGUGAGUGGAACUCCGAGUGUAGAGGUGAAAUUCGUAGAUAUUCGGAAGAACACCAGUGGCGAAGGCGACUCACUGGCCCGAUACUGACGCUGAGGCGCGAAAGCGUGGGGAGCAAACAGG